AGCGAACGCUGGCGGCAGGCCUAACACAUGCAAGUCGAACGAACCUUUCGGGGUUAGUGGCGGACGGGUGAGUAACACGUGGGAACGUGCCUUUAGGUUCGGAAUAACUCAGGGAAACUUGUGCUAAUACCGAAUGUGCCCUUCGGGGGAAAGUUUAAUCGCCUUUAGAGCGGCCCGCGUCUGAUUAGCUAGUUGGUUGAGGUAAUGGCUCACCAAGGCGACGAUCAGUAGCUGGUCUGAGAGGAUGAUCAGCCACAUUGGGACUGAGACACGGCCCACACUCCUACGGGAGGCAGCAGUGGGGAAUCUUGCGCAAUGGGCGAAAGCCUGACGCAGCCAUGCCGCGUGAAUGAUGAAGGUCUUAGGAUUGUAAAAUUCUUUCACCGGGGACGAUAAUGACGUUACCCGGAGAAGAAGCCCCGGCUAACUUCGUG
RNAcentral lists this ribosomal RNA (434 nucleotides) under uncultured bacterium. Its description in RNAcentral is "partial 16S ribosomal RNA". It matches the Rfam family "Bacterial small subunit ribosomal RNA", at positions 29 to 507 of the family's 1533-position model. The record is from RNAcentral.